RNAcentral lists this unclassified non-coding RNA (372 nucleotides) under uncultured Actinomycetes bacterium. RNAcentral's name for it is "uncultured actinobacterium contains 16S-23S intergenic spacer region". The record is from RNAcentral. Lineage: Bacteria; Bacillati; Actinomycetota; Actinomycetes.
UCCGAGCUGACCCCGGCAGUCUCCUAUGAGUCCCCGGCAUUACCCGCUGGCAACAUAGAACGAGGGUUGCGCUCGUUGCGGGACUUAACCCAACAUCUCACGACACGAGCUGACGACAGCCAUGCACCACCUGCGUGCGGCCCUUACGGACCCGGUAUCUCUACCGGUUUUCCGCACAUGUCAAACCCAGGUAAGGUUCUUCGCGUUGCAUCGAAUUAAUCCGCAUGCUCCGCCGCUUGUGCGGGCCCCCGUCAAUUCCUUUGAGUUUCACCGUUGCCGGCGUACUCCCCAGGUGGCGAACUUAACGCCUUCGCUAAGCCGCUGAUGACAAAUCACCAACAGCGAGUUCGCAUCGUUUACAGCGUGGACUAC